GGGGAAUAUUGCACAAUGGGCGCAAGCCUGAUGCAGCCAUGCCGCGUGUGUGAAGAAGGCCUUCGGGUUGUAAAGCUCUGUCUUCAGGGACGAUAAUGACGGUACCUGAGGAGGAUGCCACGGCUAACUACGUGCCAGCAGCCGCGGUAAUACGUAGGGGGCAAGCGUUAUCCGGAUUUACUGGGUGUAAAGGGAGCGUAGACGGCUAUGCAAGUCUGGUGUGAAAACCCGGGGCUCAACCCCGGGACUGCAUUGGAAACUGUGUGGCUUGGGUGUCGGAGAGGUAAGUGGAAUUCCUAGUGUAGCGGUGAAAUGCGUAGAUAUUAGGAGGAACACCAGUGGCGAAGGCGGCUUACUGGACGAUGACUGACGUUGAGGCUCGAAAGCGUGGGGAGCAAAC
This 400-nucleotide ribosomal RNA is filed under the name uncultured bacterium. Its description in RNAcentral is "bacterial SSU rRNA". It matches the Rfam family "Bacterial small subunit ribosomal RNA", at positions 356 to 773 of the family's 1533-position model. The record is from RNAcentral.